RNAcentral lists this ribosomal RNA (597 nucleotides) under Triticum aestivum (bread wheat). RNAcentral's name for it is "partial small subunit ribosomal RNA". The record is from RNAcentral. Lineage: Eukaryota; Viridiplantae; Streptophyta; Magnoliopsida; Poales; Poaceae.
AUGUAUCGAGAUGAACAACCUCGCAUCCCGUUCAGCAAAAGAAAGGGAUUUGAAGAAAUACAUUUUCUCAGUCCACGCGGGAUCCUACUAAAACAAGACCCAUCAACCUUUCAACCACCAAAACUCGUGGCUGAGCUUGAAAGGGCUAUGAAAAUGUUCAAGGUUCAAAAGUUUGACCUCCUCUUUUUCACAAUUGUGCAUGAUCUCCAUUGGAUAGUUGUUUGCGCAAACUUGCUUCACAAGCAGUGGAAUGUAUUUGACUCAAUCCAUUCAAAAGGAAAACAAUCUCCUUUGAAGAAGCAAGCCAAUAACCUGAUCACAAACUUUGCAACCCUCGCACAAGAGUGCAGCGAAUUCAAUGUCAAUGUUGGAUCCUUCGCCCGUGUUGACCUAGAGGAUUACCCAAAGCAAGAUACCCUAUGUGAUUGUGGCUUUUUUGGGCUCAAAUAUGUGGAGAACUAUGAUGGGAAGUCAAUGAGAGAGUUCAAGCAGGAAGACAUGGCGCGAUACCGCAUCGAUGUGGCAUACAACCUUUUCAGUCACCCAAUGAACAAUGCCCCAAAGGAGCGGGCGUUCAAGGAUGAGUUGGCGGCUUGA